GAGUUGCAGAGAUUCCUUCACAGAUUAUUGAUAAAAUGGACCAGAUCUAACUUCACCCAAAAGAUACCUUGGGAAAGGAAGAUUGCUAAGUCAUAUAUAUGAAGCAUUUUUCCUCUAUACCCAGCUGAUGUGGGAUUUAACUCGGCUUUGUGGAGCUUAACAUAACCUCAACAUUUGGACCUCCUCACGCCCAGCCUCUGGAGAGUGAUGUUUGUAGGAUUGGAAUUUUGUUGGUGGCCUAACAUCAAGAUUAGAGUUGGCUCUAAUACCAUAUUGAUAAAAUAAAUUGGGCCUAACUCCAACGGAGUUAAGGCACGUUGUGGGAGUAGAAUUGUCCGGCCAUAUAUGAAGCAUUUUUCCUCAAUACCCAGCACUAGAAUGAGAUAUUUGCAAUC
Molecule: unclassified non-coding RNA, 395 nt
Filed under: Hevea brasiliensis (rubber tree)
Lineage: Eukaryota; Viridiplantae; Streptophyta; Magnoliopsida; Malpighiales; Euphorbiaceae
Source: RNAcentral